This 351-nucleotide unclassified non-coding RNA is filed under the name soil metagenome. Its description in RNAcentral is "partial contains 5.8S ribosomal RNA, internal transcribed spacer 2, and large subunit ribosomal RNA". The stretch from base 1 to 120 matches the Rfam family "5.8S ribosomal RNA", at positions 35 to 154 of the family's 154-position model. The record is from RNAcentral.
GAUGAAGAACGCAGUGAAAUGCGAUAAGUAAUGUGAAUUGCAGAAUUCAGUGAAUCAUCGAAUCUUUGAACGCACAUUGCGCCCGCCAGUAUUCUGGCGGGCAUGCCUGUUCGAGCGUCAUUUCAACACUCAGGCCCCCAGUGCCUGGUGUUGGGGAUCGGCCCAGCCUUCCUGUAAGGCCGCCGGCCCCGAAAUCUAGUGGCGGUCUCGCUGUAGUCCUCCUCUGCGUAGUAGCACAACCUCGCAGUUGGAACGCGGCGGUGGCCAUGCCGUUAAACACCCCACUUCUGAAAGUUGACCUCGGAUCAGGUAGGAAUACCCGCUGAACUUAAGCAUAUCAUAAGCGGAGGA